This 449-nucleotide ribosomal RNA is filed under the name uncultured bacterium. RNAcentral describes it as "partial 16S ribosomal RNA". It matches the Rfam family "Bacterial small subunit ribosomal RNA", at positions 29 to 523 of the family's 1533-position model. The record is from RNAcentral.
AACGAACGCUGGCGGCAUGCCUAACACAUGCAAGUCGAACGAGAUCUUCGGGUCUAGUGGCGCACGGGUGCGUAACGCGUGGGAAUCUGCCCUUUGGUUCGGAAUAACAGUUGGAAACGACUGCUAAUACCGGAUGAUGACGAAAGUCCAAAGAUUUAUCGCCAGAGGAUGAGCCCGCGUAGGAUUAGCUAGUUGGUGUGGUAAAGGCGCACCAAGGCGACGAUCCUUAGCUGGUCUGAGAGGAUGAUCAGCCACACUGGGACUGGGACACGGCCCAGACUCCUACGGGAGGCAGCAGUGGGGAAUAUUGGACAAUGGGCGAAAGCCUGAUCCAGCAAUGCCGCGUGAGUGAUGAAGGCCUUAGGGUUGUAAAGCUCUUUCACCCGGGAUGAUAAUGACAGUGCCGGGAGAAUAAGCUCCGGCUAACUCCGUGCCAGCCGCCGCGGUAA